AUACCAUGCUGAAUAUACCGGUUCUCGUUAGAUCACCGAAGUUAAGCAUCAUUGGGCGCGGUCAGUACUUGGGUGGGUAACCACCUGGGAACACUGCGUGCCGUU
RNAcentral lists this ribosomal RNA (105 nucleotides) under Caerostris darwini. The record is from RNAcentral. Lineage: Eukaryota; Metazoa; Arthropoda; Arachnida; Araneae; Araneidae.